UUCCCUAAAAAAAAAAGAAACCGAAAAAAAAAAAAUUACAUUUCCUAAAAAAUAAAAAAGAAACCGAAAAUAAAAAAUAAAAAAAAUUAUGUUUCCUAAUGCCUACGACGUCCAUUUUUUUUUCACCUCUUCCUUCAUCCUCCGAUAAACCUCACUUGAACCGGGGGUUGCGAUUGGGAUUGUAGUUGUUCAAACGUGUUGCGUUGCAUGAUUUGUUGGAGCGCUUGAUAUUGUUGAACUUGUUGUAGUUGAGACAUUUGUGAGAAGGCGUUGGGUGUUUGUUGGAAACCCGAAAACGGAAAUGGCGAAGCCCCCCACGAAGGAUCCAUAGUCGGAGUGUAAGCGGGACUAGAAAAAAAAUUAGGUUGGUUCGGAUUUGGAUUAUUCGGGUUGGGGUUGUUCGGGUUGGGGUUGUUUGGGUUGAAUGGAUUCAUGUUUGGGAGAGAAUGGUAUAAAAAAUAUAGAGUUUUUUUAUAAAAAAGGAUGAGAAAUAGAGAAGAAUGGGAGUAGAAUGAGAGAAUUUGGUUUAAAAAAGGUGUGGGAUUAUGGUAUUUAUUUAAAAGGAAAUUGAUUUUUUUUUUUUUAUUAAACUAGCCGUUUAAUAACGGUCGGAUUUUUUGAAUGAGGCUCGGCCCACCCGGCUGUGGGUGGCCGAUGUUGAUGGAAGCCGGACCAGGGGGGCGGUGUGGGGGUCCGGCGCCGGGCCAAGCCGGGCCAAGCCGGCCCCCAUACCCACUAGUCU
Molecule: long non-coding RNA, 742 nt
Filed under: Helianthus annuus (common sunflower)
Lineage: Eukaryota; Viridiplantae; Streptophyta; Magnoliopsida; Asterales; Asteraceae
Source: RNAcentral